Molecule: long non-coding RNA, 1653 nt
Organism: Pristis pectinata (smalltooth sawfish)
Lineage: Eukaryota; Metazoa; Chordata; Chondrichthyes; Rhinopristiformes; Pristidae
Exons: 4
Source: RefSeq, a predicted model, not a curated record
GGUAACUCUGCUUCUCUCCAUACACCCGCCACUCGACCGACCUGCCGUGCCCUCUAGGUGGACCACGAAGGGAACUUCACGGGUUUCACCACUGAAUUCAGCGCAGUGUGGUUUAAAGUCCCCCAGAAGAACUGCGGUGUUCCCAUUUGUGCCGUGUUGUUGGUGGACUGGGCAGUGUGGUGUUUGUCUCGGACUGGGUCACGAAUCUCCAACUUUUUCUGGAGAGUACACUCCAGGACGGUCUGGUCUGGGGCUUCAUUGGUCAGAGGGUGGAUAAACGUGGUUUUACUGAUAUAGUUGGACGAAGAAGGAAAGUAACAUGAUUUCACCAUUGAAUUCAGUGUUGUGUGAUGCCUCCCCCAAUGAAAACGGGAAUUGUCGGCAAUGUCUACAGUCACCAGAUUAAUCCACUGAAGACCAGCAGUCGCUGUAGUAAUUUAUGUCUCCUGGUAAACUAAACACACUGACAGUGUGGACCUUAAGCAUCCCUGCCUCUGACAGGCAGUUGUGGCGGAAUCAGGUAAACAGCUGUUUGCUGAAGGGAAUCUUUUUCAUGGUCAUAGAAGGUCCCCCAGAAUCAGUUGGGUGGAGUUGAGGCAUAUGUGGGGGUGUCCCAGUGAAGGAGCCGAACAGCCUGGCCGGCAGCAUUAUGUCUUCGGUCAUCCGGCCACCGGUGGCGCUGUGAGGAGAACCGGUAAUGUGCAGGCACGUAUCUGGCCCUCCAGGCAUUCCCGGAGUUUCUCCUGUUCGGGAGGCUGUGAGGAAAGGGCCGGUCUCGGGUUUAUGUAAAUUGGGGGCGAGUCGGAGUGGAAAUGGGCCGGGCUCCUGCUCAGGGAGUUGUCAAACUCUGUGUGAUACCUGGACAGAAACAGGUUGUGGGAGAACGGUCUCACAGAUUCUGGUGCCGAGGAUCUGGCCUCCGCUCUCAGUACAAACCGCUCACUGACGGGACUGGACCUGGGGAAAAACUCCUUCACAGACAGAUCUGUCCCCGCUCUCUGCCACCUCGUACUGACCCUCCCGAGUCUGGAGCUGAUCACGCUGCGGGAGAAUCAGUUCAGUUCAGGUGGAGAGAAUCAGAUGAAGUAACUGCGGGGAACCAGACCCGAACUGAGUGUGUCCCAGUGAACGUCUCUCUGUAGGAACAUCACCUGCCUCGAGAUGGGAUCACUUCUGGCCGACGGCCCGCCCUCCCCUUUAAACGAUUGCUCCCCGAAUUUAACACCGAUCGGCUGUUUCGGUUCCCAGCUCGAGCUGAGGUGGCUGUGGUAUCAAGGGCGGUCCUGCUGCCCCGUGACUCAGCGGCCCGUCCAUUUGGCCCUGGAGAACUGCACCGACAGGAAGGGCCCAGGGUGGUGUUCAGUCGGGGACACCAGUGAUGGCAUUCAGUGUCCGGGGUGGGGCUUAAUCUGGACACCAAUAAUGGCAUUCAGUGUCCGGGGUGGGACUAUCUGGGGAAAGAGCCCUUUUGGCCAGAUUGCUGAGAAAGUUGCAGCUGGAAUUUUUACUCCAGUCCCUGCUGCAGCAUCUUGGUAUAAUAGUAACUUGUCAAAUAACUCAGUGGUUGUCCCUGGGUCUGCAGUGAUCUUGGACGCUGCACUCAAGUGUGAUUGUACAAUUAGUGGUCACUCUGAUACAGAAUGAAAGUGUUAA